RNAcentral lists this long non-coding RNA (1347 nucleotides) under Homo sapiens (human). RNAcentral's name for it is "HSALNT0134429". Lineage: Eukaryota; Metazoa; Chordata; Mammalia; Primates; Hominidae. The record is from RNAcentral.
GGGAGGUGCUGACAGAAUGGGAAGAGGAGACAAGAGGUAAAAUAACCAGGUACCUGGUUUGUAGUGUACCUAUUGUGCUGUUUGUAGCACAAAGACAAGAGUGCAUGUGUGCACAUGUGUGUGUGAGAGAGAGAGGAGAAGCUGACUUUGGGAGAGCGGAGGGGCUGUCUUUCCUUUCCUACAGGCACUCAUCUAGUCUCUGUUUUGUUUCAGUUUGGAGGAAUCCCAGAGCAGCGGCUUUGUUCCUUACUUUUUCAGGAUAGACCGGGGAAAUAUCAAGUCCCAGAGAACUGCUGCAUCCAGCACAUGCCACCCAGGUGGUGGGUUAGAAAGGGCGGAAUGAAGGGGGAAGACAGAGAGAAUGGAGAUGCCACUAUCCUGCAGCAACAGUGAGGUAAAAGUUAUAGGAAACAAAGAAGUAACCUUUUCUGGUACCUCAAUGCAUUGGACAUAGUUUUCAAAUCACUACGACAUGUGUGUGAAUUCUUCUGAGUUCUGUAAGGCUUUGUCCCCAGCUUUUGCCACAGGAAAGCUUCUUUGCAGUGACUCCAUCCCCUAUGCCCGUCCUUCUGGCAUCCUCGCUCCAUCCUAUGGUUGCUGUGGAGACGGCUCCAGCCCCUCAGGUCCUGUGUGUGCUGGAGGGACAUGGAGCCCUUCAGAUUUUGUAGGGUGAAGUGCCCUGAAGCCAAGGGAUUUUGCCCUGCCUGUCCUGCCCUCCUCUCUCUGCCAGCAUCAGCCUUGCCAAACUCUUCACCUAAGGCUGGCUUCCAGACAUGAGUAAGAAGAGAUGAGAUUUUGGGGCAAGGAAGACCCAGCUCGGAAACACACUUGUGAAUCUGGAUAUCUGUGUCUUAAAUAAUUUUGUGGUUUUUUUUCUUACUACUAAAUUCAUAUUCAUUGUGGAAGAUUUGGAAACUUUUGACAAGCCAAAAGAAGAAAGUAAAAAUCACUAGAUAAUCCUACCACCAAGAGACAGCCGCUGUUCAUAUUUUAGUUUACCAACUCACAUACGCAUUUUCCUACACAACUAACUCCCUAUUUAUGUGAUUGUCCACUUAGGACUUGUGAAUCUUUCCAUGUCAUUCACUUAAAAACAAGUAAACGUUGUAUUAUUAAAAUAGAGUUUAAGGCAAUAAACCAAAAUGUUAACAGUGAUUAACUCUGGAGGGGGGCAGAACUCUUAUGGUUUUUCUUUGCAUUUUAAAGCUUUUCAAGCUUUUAAAAUAGUAAAUGUAUAUUACUUUUUUUUUUUUUUUUUGUGACGGAGUCUCUCUCUGUCCCCCAGGCUGGAGUGCAGUGGCACGAUCUUGGCUCACUGCAAACUCCGCCUCCCAGGUUCACGCCAUU